AGCAGCCGCGGUAAUUCCAGCUCCAAUAGCGUAUAUUAAAGUUGUUGCAGUUAAAAAGCUCGUAGUUGAAUUUCGGGGUUAGUAGGUUGGUCGUGCCACCGGUAUGUACUGGCUCUACUGAUCCCUCCUUCUUGUAGAACCGUAAUGCCAUUAACUUGGUGUUGCGGGGAAACAGGACUGUUACUUUGAAAAAAUUAGAGUGUUUAAAGCAGGCUAACGCUUGAAUACAUUAGCAUGGAAUAAUGAAAUAGGACGCUCGAUCCUAUUUUGUUGGUUUCUAGGAUUGACGUAAUGAUUAAUAGGGAUAGUUGGGGGCAUUAGUAUUCAAUUGUCAGAGGUGAAAUUCUUGGAUUUAUUGAAGACUAACUACUGCGAAAGCAUUUGCCAAGGAUGUUUUCAUUAAUCAAGAACGAAAGUUAGGGGAUCGAAGACGAUCAGAUACCGUCGUAGUCUUAACCAUAAACUAUGCCGACUAGGGAUCGGAUGAUGUUAAUUUUUUAAUGACUCAUUCGGCGCCUUACG
This 522-nucleotide ribosomal RNA is filed under the name uncultured Glomus. RNAcentral's name for it is "SSU rRNA". It matches the Rfam family "Eukaryotic small subunit ribosomal RNA", at positions 569 to 1092 of the family's 1831-position model. Lineage: Eukaryota; Fungi; Glomeromycota; Glomeromycetes; Glomerales; Glomeraceae. The record is from RNAcentral.